Long non-coding RNA from Felis catus (domestic cat), 1470 nucleotides. RefSeq lists it as uncharacterized. The transcript has 2 exons. The record is from RefSeq and is a predicted model, not a curated record. NCBI's taxonomy places the organism in Eukaryota, Metazoa, Chordata, Mammalia, Carnivora, Felidae.
ACUCCUAGAAGAAACUGUAAAGGAAAAAGUCCCUUGACAUUGGUCUUGGGAAUGAUUUUUUUUGACGUGGCACCAAAAUCACAAGCCACAAAGGCAAAAAUCAACAGGAUGACACCAAACUAAAAAUCUUCUAGACAGCAAAAGAAACAAUCAACAAAAUGAAAAGGCAAGCUACGGAACAGGAGAAAAUAUUUCCAAACCGAAAUGUGUAAGGAACUCCUAUGAACUUGAUGGCCAAAAAGGAAAACAUCUGAUUAAAAAACGGGCAGAGGACUCAGACAUUUUUCCAAAGAAGACAUACAACGGGCCAAUAAGUACAAGAAAGGGUGUUUCAACAUCACCCAUCAUCUGGGAACUGCGAAUCAAAACUGCAUGAAGGUAUUACCUCCCACCUGUUAGAGUGGAUAUUACCAAAAACAACAACAACAAAACAAAAACAAAACAAAAAAGAGAGAGAACAAGUAUUAACGAGCAUGUGGAGAAAAGGGAGCCCUCGUGCACUGUUGGUGGGAAUGCAAACUGGUGCAGCCACUAUGGAAAACAGUAUGAAGGUUCCUCCAAAAAAUUAAAGAGAGAACCACCCCGUGAGCCAACAAUCUCACUUUUAGGUGUACAUCCAAAGGAGAUGAAAUCACUUCCUCAAACAGAUAUCUGUACCUCCACCUGCACCACAGCAUUAUUUGUAAUAGCCAAGUUAACCUCAGUGUUCAUCAAUGAACGGAUAAGAUAGAUAGAUAGAUAGACGACAGAGAGAUAAAUGGAAUAUUAUUCACCCACAAAAAAGGAAAGGAAUCCUGUCAUUUGCAACAACACGGAUGAACCCUGAGGGCCUUAUGAUAAGUGAAAUAAGCCAGUCAGAGAAAGACUAACACUAAACACUGCAUGAGCUCACUUUUAUGUGGAAUCUGGACACAUCAGACUCAGGAACAGAGAGUCAAAAAUGGUGGUUGCCAGGGACUCGAGGCGUGGGGGCAGUGGGGAGACGUCGGUCAGGGUAUAAACCUUCAGUUACAAAUGAAUACGUUUCUGACAUCUAACGGACGGCCUGGUGACUACGGUUUACAGCGCUCCAUUAUAUCCUCCAGUUGCUAUGAGAGCAGAGCUGUGGUUUACUCACCAUGGCAACAGCAACAACAAAAUGGUGACUAUGUGAGGUGAAGGAGGUGCUAACUAACCUUGCUGUGGUCAUCAUUUCCCAAUACACGUGCAGAUUAAAUCAUCACAUCAUACACCCCAAACUUACGCAAUGUCAUAUGCCGAUUCUAGGCCAUAAGGAACACCACAGAGGAGCGAGCUGAGCUUUCUUUCAGUCAACGGCCAGCAACAAUCUCCAGACAUGCGAGUGUGGGUCAGCGUUUGGAUGUUUCCAGCCCCUAGACAUCAUGGGGCAGAGACAAGCCAUCCUCACUGUACCCUCUCCCCGUUCCUGACCCUCAAAAUCCAUCCACACAAUAAAAGGGUUUCGCACCA